AUUGAACGCUGGCGGCAGGCCUAACACAUGCAAGUCGAACGGUAACAGGAAGCAGCUUGCUGCUUCGCUGACGAGUGGCGGACGGGUGAGUAAUGUCUGGGAAGCUGCCUGAUGGAGGGGGAUAACUACUGGAAACGGUAGCUAAUACCGCAUAAUGUCGCAAGACCAAAGAGGGGGACCUUCGGGCCUCUUGCCAUCGGAUGUGCCCAGAUGGGAUUAGCUUGUUGGUGGGGUAACGGCUCACCAAGGCGACGAUCCCUACCUGGUCUGAGAGGAUGACCAGCCACACUGGGACUGAGACACGGUCCAGACUCCUACGGGAGGCAGCAGUGGGGAAUAUUGCACAAAGGGCGCAAGCCUGAUGCAGCCAUGCCGCGUGUAUGAAGAAGGCCUUCGGGUUGUAAAGUACUUUCAGCGGGGAGGAAGGGAGUAAAGUUAAUACCUUUGCUCAUUGACGUUACCCGCAGAAGAAGCACCGGCUAACUCCGUG
RNAcentral lists this ribosomal RNA (490 nucleotides) under uncultured bacterium. RNAcentral's name for it is "partial 16S ribosomal RNA". It matches the Rfam family "Bacterial small subunit ribosomal RNA", at positions 30 to 507 of the family's 1533-position model. The record is from RNAcentral.